UCUAAGGUUUCCAGGGUAAAGCUGAUCUGCCCUGGGUAAGUCGGGGCCUAAGGCGAGGACGAGAGUCGUAGCCGAUGGACAACAGGUUGAGAUUCCUGUACUGCAGUAAGACAGAACUGUGGGGACACGUGUGGAGAGCAUAGGCGCGGAAUGGAAAGCCGCGUGCAAGCGAGGUAGGAGUCCUGUAGGAAAAACCGCAGGGCAAUCCGAAGGCGUGAUGCGGACCGAAAUCUAGUAGGGAAGUAUGUGAGCCAUGCGUCAAGAAAAGCCGCUAUUGUUCUUAUUGUACCCGUACCGUAAACCGACACAGGUGGAUGAGGAGAGAAUCCUAAGGCCGACGGAAGAAGCAUUGUUAAGGAACUCGGCAAAAUGACCCCGUAACUUCGGGAGAAGGGGUGCCACAGAAAUGUGGCCGCAGAGAAUAGGCUCAAGCAACUGUUUAGCAAAAACACAGGUCUAUGCAAAACCGAAAGGUGAGGUAUAUGGGCUGACGCCUGCCCGGUGCUGGAAGGUUAAGAGGAGAGGUUAGCGCAAGCGAAGCUUUGAAUUUAAGCCCCAGUAAACGGCGGCCGUAACUAUAACGGUCCUAAGGUAGCGAAAUUCCUUGUCGGGUAAGUUCCGACCCGCACGAAAGGCGUAAUGAUUUGAGCGCUGUCUCGACAAUGCAUCCGGUGAAAUUGAAGUACCAGUGAAGAUGCUGGUUACCUGCGCCAGGACGGAAAGACCCCAUGGAGCUUUACUCCAGCUUGAUACUGGGAUUCGGUAUUGCAUGUACAGGAUAGGUGGGAGGCUGAGAAUCGGUAACGCCAGUUGCCGAGGAGCCAUUGUUGGGAUACCACCCUUGCAGUACUGGGUUUCUAACCAGCAGCCGUGACCCGGCUGGGGGACAAUGUCAGGUGGGGAGUUUGACUGGGGCGGUCGCCUCCGAAAGGGUAUCGGAGGCGCUCAAAGGUUCCCUCAGAAUGGUUGGAAACCAUUCGAAGAGUGCAAAGGCAGAAGGGAGCUUGACUGCGACACCGACGGGUGGAGCAGGUACGAAAGUAGGACUUAGUGAUCCGGUGGUAUUAAGUGGGAAUGCCAUCGCUCAACGGAUAAAAGCUACCCUGGGGAUAACAGGCUUAUCACUCCCAAGAGUUCACAUCGACGGAGUGGUUUGGCACCUCGAUGUCGGCUCAUCGCAUCCUGGGGCUGUAGUAGGUCCCAAGGGUUGGGCUGUUCGCCCAUUAAAGCGGUACGCGAGCUGGGUUCAGAACGUCGUGAGACAGUUCGGUCCCUAUCCGGCGUGGGCGUAGGAUAUCUGAGAGGAGCUGUCCUUAGUACGAGAGGACCGGGAUGGACGGACCGCUGGUGUACCUGUUGCAGUGCCAGCUGCAUGGCAGGGUAGCCAAGUCCGGAAGGGAUAAACGCUGAAGGCAUCUAAGCGUGAAGCCCCCCUCAAGAUGAGAUAUCCCAUUCGAAAGAAGUAAGACCCCUUGAAGACGACGAGGUAGAUAGGGCAGAGGUGGAAGUGCAGUAAUGUAUGGAGCUGACUGUUACUAAUCGGUCGAGGGUUUGAUC
This 1557-nucleotide ribosomal RNA is filed under the name metagenome. RNAcentral's name for it is "bacterial LSU rRNA". It matches the Rfam family "Bacterial large subunit ribosomal RNA", at positions 1344 to 2925 of the family's 2925-position model. The record is from RNAcentral.